Long non-coding RNA from Acipenser ruthenus (sterlet), 956 nucleotides. RefSeq lists it as uncharacterized. The transcript is spliced from 3 exons. The record is from RefSeq and is a predicted model, not a curated record. Lineage: Eukaryota; Metazoa; Chordata; Actinopteri; Acipenseriformes; Acipenseridae.
AGAGAUUUGUGAGCUGAGAGCACGGGUCGGGGAACUACUGUUUGAGCAUGCUUUCAGGAAAGUGCAGUUCAAUCACUGGCUGCUAAUGCGAGCGCUGAUGGUCUGGGGCGCCCACUCUUUCUGUGUCGGAUACAGGACCCGAUACAGCAUUCCUGGAAGGCCUGUGCAGGGAGCCCCCCUUUAACCCUUCAGGAAACUGCACACCACAAACACUACAUUAGAAACCCGGGCCACCAUCUGUCGAGUGUGUUUAAAAAGACCAAGUAAAAAAAGGAGCAGAGGGGCAGGAGAGCAAGACGAGACAGAAGACUGGGGGUUUUGGGCUGAAAUGCUGGUUUGGCACAAUGUUAUUGAAUACAGACUGGACACUAUUGGAAGUGUUCCAGCUCAACUGGGAGAUUUUCUUGCUUUUCUCUUUUCCCCACUUUUAUUUUACAACAACAAAGGAAUGAUUUCCUCUCUUUAGGCAACAAAAGCACAGAAAACAAUAACUGUGAAAAACACUAUAAAAAGAAAGAUGAAUGUGGCUUGGUUUAACACGGAAACCACCCCACACAAUAAGUAGAGCUAUUUCCCUCACUAUACUUGUUUUAUCUUCACUAAGCUUUUUACUACAACCAUAACAAUAUGUUCAGUUUUAAUUUUCUCACCAUGCCCAGAAUCGCCCACUCCUUUCAACAAAAUGGCUCCCAAAUCUCUCUAAGUAGACUUUUUAUAUCCUCCCACCUGAUCAUUGAUUAAUUGAAUUCCCCACCUUUCCUACUGAAAGCAUAGCAUUUCCAGAAUUUUCAAUUACCCAGUUACCCAAUUAACCUGAAUUUCUUGCCAACUUUUAUCAGCUCCCUGCAACCCUUUCUCAGUUUCUUAAGAGCAGGCAAGCUUUGUUCCUGGUCCACUUUGUUUAUCCUGCAAUAAUCACUGCCUGCCCUACUGUUACAGUAUGAAAUAGUUAUUUU